Molecule: long non-coding RNA, 515 nt
Organism: Atta colombica
Lineage: Eukaryota; Metazoa; Arthropoda; Insecta; Hymenoptera; Formicidae
Exons: 3
Source: RefSeq, a predicted model, not a curated record
UGAGAACGAUAAACAGUACCUCGUGUAUGUGUCUAGUGGGGUGUUACAAUGCAAAUUGCGCAUUUAGAGCGCAAUAUCACCGAGAGAAAAUUGCAGGCGAAAUAUCCGUCUCCUGCGAGCAGGCUACACGGAGCUAUUCGGUUCUCUGAUCUCAAACUCGGUGAUAGCAUUUUUAGAGAUUUAUUAAGCGAUUGAAACGGGUUAACACAGUUUCGGAUCCCAGAGGACUUUCAUUCGGGGUUGAGCCACUGUUACUGAAAGUCACGCUGCUGCUGGUCUCGCUCUCGUCUCUCGUAAAUUUCGAAGCGAUACCCUGAAACACAAUCCGAAAUUCAGCAACAGCCAAGGCAUUCUCCAAGGAAUAUAUUAAACUGUGUCUGUGAUCCUUGACGUCAGUCUCGUGCCACUCAUACCGAUCCAUAUCACUUAUUGAUUUCUUUCUCCGUUUUUUCUUGCAAUAUACAAUAUAAUGUAAAAUGCUUAAUUCGAUAAUAAAGUUAACAUAAAAUUAUAAA